AGAAUCUCUUUUUUCAAAGACGGUCAUCUUAGGAUGUGGACUCUCUGCUUCUUGGGACAGUAACCCAAGAAAGCUAUUCACUGGACAUUGUUAAAUCCCCUUUGCUCUUAUUUUUGUGUUAUUCCAGGGAAACAGCUUUUCGAAUCUGUCUGCAAUAGACAUUGAUCUUAAAUGUUGAGGACAUGACUAUGAUGGAGCCCCCAAGAUUCCCUGCUUGAAAUCAGCACUUUCAAGGCCUCCCUGGACCCCAGAGUAUCUGCCCCAGAAGCCUUGCUGCCUUCCCACAAAAAUGCCCCCCAUGAGGACUCGAGUUUGCACCUGGCCAGACUGCUGAUCCUCUGUGGGCCAAGGUACUUUUACAUAAAUUUCAAACCGCUCAUGGAGAAGCAAUAAUACCCAGAUCUAGCCAAGGAAAUUAUAAUUUCACCCUGGGGGAAGGAGCAGAUAAUCUGUAAAAUCCCUAGGCCAAUCUGGGCCAAGGGUGGAAGGUUAAGGACAAACAAGGUUUUCCACGUGACCAUCUCCAUGGCAGAGGAUUCCUGUCUGGCAGGAAGCCUUUUUCAUCCUUAAGUGCUGGAAUAGAAAGGGUUGCAUCCUUGGUACCUACUGGCCUCCCUGUAACUCAUUCCCAGCCAAGACCAGCAGUGAAAUUAACACUGCCCAGAGGUGCGUGUGACGGCUGCUGGGACCUGUGCCCAAAUUCCACCACUUCUGAGAAUCACAUGGUGCAAAGACAAGUCCAAGUUUAUAGUGUGACCCCAAUUAUCCUACUGGAGACGGUCCUAUCCAUCACACUGGGACAGGACAACAGGAGGGCCAAAGUGCAUCCUUAGGAUGGUAUGUGUCAUUUCAUGGAAUAGAUAUGACCACAGCAGAGAAAGCAUUUUGUAAAUGGAAUCAUUGAAAAUCCUUCACAAAGCUAGCAGUCCUCUUAUUAUAAUAAAAGCCAUGUCUUCUAUCUUAUCCAUUGUAUAAGUUUAGGCUUAUAUGGCAGUCAACUGUAUAUUACUAUAAAAGAGCCCCAAUUACCAAUAUAUGGUCCCAAAUGGUAUCUAAGACUCUUGUACAUAUCCACCCCCAUGCAAAAAGUGCACUGUCUCUGAAAGUCACAAAACUUCAAAUAAAUUAUGUACAGAAGUCAUAUGUCAUAUUUUGUAUUUCACAUAAUAUAUAUAUACAUAUAUUUUAGGAGCUACUGCUGUGUACUUCCUACAUAUCAAAUUUACCUAGAUUAUCACUGUAAUCUAUUGACCUGGACUUAUUCUAGCAAUAAAUAAUUAUCACCUAUAAGAAAGUAGACUAACUAGAAAAAACACAAGACCUUCUUUUCCCAAAGAGAUGCAUUUCAAAUAAAAUGUCGGUCUCCAUGGUAAAAUAUUAUCUGUUAAUCCUUUAUCUACUUACUUUGUUUGGAUCAAUUUUGUGCUGCUGAUAAUUGUAAUGACAAUGCAUUCCAGAAAAAUUUGAUUUUAAAACACAAAACUUUGUGGUCAUGGGAAAUAGUAAAUGAAAGAAAUAGUAAAAAAAUUUGAAAAGUACUCAGGUAAGUGUUUAUUUUAGAUGUAGAGAAACAAAAUAGGGUGAUGCAUGAAUAUGUUAGAGAAGCAAACACAGGACAGAAAAUAAUAGAAAAUGGGGAAAGUGGAAUGAAAAUACGACACCAAGAAGAAAGAGGGGAUAUAAAAUUUCUAGAUCUUAAAGAACUUUCUCAUGAUUUAAAGUGAAAAUAAUGGGCCUGAAAUUACUUUGGUAUUCAGAUUCCAGAUGACAUAUUUAUUAUAUUUAUAUUAUUUUUUUUCAUUAUAUUAUUGUUAUAGAAUAAUUAUUCAUCUUAUAUCAAAAUGUCAAUAUUUAUAGUUUACUGGUAAUUACAUCCUUAACACACAUUGAGACUUAUGAAAAACUCUGCAUUCAAUUUAUAAGUGCAUGAGGGGAGCACAUGAUGGUUUUUAAAAAUUCUAGUUUGAAGAUAACUGGACUGAAGCAUCUCUAUGUCAACCCUUUGCCAUGUUAAUGCUGAGACUCCAGUUUCUCAGGACAAGCACAUCAGGUAAAUGGUCCUUAACCAACAGAACACCAUGUCCUCUCUUAUUCCAGUGGCAUCUUCCAAAGGCAAUGUUAGUCCAGUUAUAGACUCUUUGGGGAAAAGGAUCCAUUUCCAAAAUCUGAAAAGCACUGCAAAGGGAAUUCUGCUUGCCACCUUUACCAUCAGGAACAAAUGAAAUACAGACAAAAUGGCCCAAACAACAGUUUACAAGACACUGGAUUCCAGGCAAUGAAGGAGAGUGAUCUUUGAAAGAUGGGAAACAAAUGAAGUCAAUCCUAUGAUCACCCUAACUUACUCCCAUGAAAGAAUCUCUAGACUGCACAGGGGCAGGGGGCAUUCAGGCAGAGCUGGAACCAUUCCCUGGGUUGAAAGGACAGGCAGAGUUUGAAGGCCAACAUGAUUAGAAUUUGUGGGGCAGAGUACAGGAGGAAAGAGAGCUGCACAGAGAGAGAGCUCUGGAGACCCACGGCUCAUU
This 2522-nucleotide long non-coding RNA is filed under the name Sus scrofa (pig). RNAcentral's name for it is "lncRNA (ENSSSCG00050037959.1)". Lineage: Eukaryota; Metazoa; Chordata; Mammalia; Artiodactyla; Suidae. The record is from RNAcentral.